GUCGGCGUGGUGUAGGUGGUAGCACAGGGGCCUGUGGAGCCCCAGGCCUGGGUUCGAAUCCCAGCGCCGACC
This 72-nucleotide transfer RNA is filed under the name Nanobdellota archaeon. Its description in RNAcentral is "tRNA-His". It matches the Rfam family "tRNA". Rfam says of the family: Transfer RNA (tRNA) molecules are approximately 80 nucleotides in length. Their secondary structure includes four short double-helical elements and three loops (D, anti-codon, and T loops). RNAcentral also lists the same sequence under 1 other name. Lineage: Archaea; Nanobdellati; Nanobdellota. The record is from RNAcentral.